RNAcentral lists this long non-coding RNA (637 nucleotides) under Cricetulus griseus (Chinese hamster). Its description in RNAcentral is "lncRNA (ENSCGRG00000026389.1)". Lineage: Eukaryota; Metazoa; Chordata; Mammalia; Rodentia; Cricetidae. The record is from RNAcentral.
UUUGCUGAUUCUUCUCUACAGGCAUGGGAAUAUUUGUUUUGAUUAUGAUAUUUUAAGAAUAUGUAAAUUAUUCCCCAAAAAAAUGCACAGCAAACUUAGCUGCUUAUAUCUAAAGAUAAUGUUCUUCAUUCCUCAGGCCCUUGCCUCUGAAUAUGCCUGCAGAUUUUCUCAUCUUGACCACGGAAGCUCUGGAUCUUCCUUUUUUUUCCAGAUAACAACUUAAUUUCUCACCUUUUCUGUUCCUCAGUUACUUCAGAUGAUGCUCAUUCUGUGGAUUUUGGCUUUCGAGUUGAUAUUGAAGAAAAAGGAUUCUACACAGAGAAUUUUCAUUCGACAGCAUGGGUUUUCCGAGGUGAUGAUGGGGAUCCUGAAGACAGCCCCAGGUGUCUUAGUAAAAAGCCAAGACCAGUAGCUGUUCGAGAGAGAACUGUGAGACUAUUCAAAGGAACUGGAGACUACCCCUGGGGAUUCCGGAUUCAGUUCUCCAAACCAAUCGUCGUAACUGAAGUGGAUACCAGUAAGUGCUCUCAUGACAAGUUUAAUUCAUACCUUAACAGUCCUCUCAACCCUAUCAAAAUGCACCAGAUAACCUAUCCUCCCUCCAUCUUGUAACUUGCUCAUGUGCAGUAGAAGUAAC